GCAGUCGAGCGAACGGAUAAGGAGCUUGCUCCUUUGAAGUUAGCGGCGGACGGGUGAGUAACACGUGGGUAACCUACCUAUAAGACUGGAAUAACUUCGGGAAACCGGAGCUAAUGCCGGAUAACAUUUGGAACCGCAUGGUUCUAAAGUAAAAGAUGGUUUUGCUAUCACUUAUAGAUGGACCCGCGCCGUAUUAGCUAGUUGGUAAGGUAACGGCUUACCAAGGCAACGAUACGUAGCCGACCUGAGAGGGUGAUCGGCCACACUGGAACUGAGACACGGUCCAGACUCCUACGGGAGGCAGCAGUAGGGAAUCUUCCGCAAUGGACGAAAGUCUGACGGAGCAACGCCGCGUGAGUGAUGAAGGUUUUCGGAUCGUAAAACUCUGUUAUUAGGGAAGAACAAAUGUGUAAGUAACUGUGCACAUCUUGACGGUACCUAAUCAGAAAGCCACGGCUAACUACGUGCCAGCAGCCGCGGUAAUACGUAGGUGGCAAGCGUUAUCCGGAAUUAUUGGGCGUAAAGCGCGCGUAGGCGGUUUCUUAAGUCUGAUGUGAAAGCCCACGGCUCAACCGUGGAGGGUCAUUGGAAACUGGGAAACUUGAGUACAGAAGAGGAAAGUGGAAUUCCAUGUGUAGCGGUGAAAUGCGCAGAGAUAUGGAGGAACACCAGUGGCGAAGGCGACUUUCUGGUCUGUAACUGACGCUGAUGUGCGAAAGCGUGGGGAUCAAACAGGAUUAGAUACCCUGGUAGUCCACGCCGUAAACGAUGAGUGCUAAGUGUUAGGGGGUUUCCGCCCCUUAGUGCUGCAGCUAACGCAUUAAGCACUCCGCCUGGGGAGUACGACCGCAAGGUUGAAACUCAAAGGAAUUGACGGGGACCCGCACAACGGUGGAGCAUGUGGUUUAAUUCGAAGCAACGCGAAGAACCUUACCAAAUCUUGACAUCCUUUGAAAACUCUAGAAGAUAGAGCCUUCCCCUUCGGGGGACAAGUG
Molecule: ribosomal RNA, 995 nt
Filed under: Staphylococcus equorum
Lineage: Bacteria; Bacillati; Bacillota; Bacilli; Caryophanales; Staphylococcaceae
Description: bacterial SSU rRNA
Rfam family: Bacterial small subunit ribosomal RNA
Source: RNAcentral